Molecule: non-coding RNA, 2742 nt
Organism: Petromyzon marinus (sea lamprey)
Lineage: Eukaryota; Metazoa; Chordata; Hyperoartia; Petromyzontiformes; Petromyzontidae
Source: RefSeq, a predicted model, not a curated record
CGCAGUCGAAUCGCUAAGAGAUUGCGUCAGUGUCGUGUUGGUGUUGUCACGGGCACUGUACCGUGGUGGUUGUUGUUGUUGUGUGGCCUCUGAAUUUAGCGUAAUUUUGUUUAUUUCUCUUUAACCAAGAGGAGACAUCGCUCACAUUCGGCCAGGACGGCGCGCAAUGGAGAGCUUGCUCAGAGCGGAGCUGGGCACGGACUCGGUGAGGCCGCUGGGCGCUGCGGCCGGUGGAGGCUGCAUCAGCGCCGGGCAGAGCUACGAGACGGGGCAUGGACGCGUGUUCGCCAAGAUCAACGCCAAGAGCGGGGCCAAGUGCAUGUUUGAUGGGGAGUUUGCAAGCUUGGAAGCCAUUGCAUCCACACGCACGGUGCGUGUGCCCAAGCAGAUGAAGGUGAUCGAGAUCCCCACGGGUGGGGCUUUGCUCGUGAUGGAACAUCUGGACAUGAAGAGUCUCAGCAGCAGCUCAGGCUUGUUGGGACAACAGCUGGCUGAAAUGCACCUUCACAACAAGAAGAUUGGAGAGAGGCUUCACAAGGAAGAGAAAAAUAUCGGUAAGGUCCCUGGGCAGGAGGAUGUGAAGUAUGUGGACAAGUUUGGGUUUCAUACGGCUACAAGCUGUGGUUACAUCCCACAGCUGAAUGAGUGGCAGGAGGACUGGGUGACGUUCUUCUCACGGCAACGACUGCAGCUUCAGCUGGACAUGAUAGAGAAGGACUACGGUGACCGGCAGACCCGCGAGCUCUGGUCUCAGCUUCAGCUACGGUUGGGGGAUUUUUUCCGGGACGUGGAGGUGGUUCCGGCACUGCUGCACGGUGACCUAUGGACUGGGAAUGCUGCAGAGAUGAAUGAAGGGCCCGUCAUCUUUGACCCAGCCUCUUUCUAUGGGCACUCGGAGUACGAUCUUGCCAUCUCUGGGAUGUUCGCGAGCUUUAGCUCCACGUUUUACUCAUCCUACCACGCUCUCAUCCCAAAGUCACAAGGCUUUGGCAAGCGCCAGAAGCUCUACCAACUCUUCCACUACCUGAAUCACUGGAAUCACUUUGGGACAGGAUACCGAGGGUCAUCCAUCUCCACCAUGCGCGGUCUCCUCAAGUGAAUGAAAGGUGCAGGAAAUCGUGGGCUAUGGUGUAUGACUAUAAACAAUAUUAUCGGCCAUGAUAUAUACAUUAUAAUCUUAGCUCUUUCGGUAAAGUCACAUGAAUUACUGCAGUCACGAAAGCUUUAAAUCAAGAUAUAUACAUUGUUGGAUAAAGGCCUUCCCUAAGCCACCACUAAAUCUCACAAAACUAGUCCAUUUAAAUGCUGUGCAAUGCCCUGGGCAUCCUACGUGAGUGUGAACGGGGGUCUCUUUGUCCUGCCUGCUGGCCGUGAUCUCCACGAGAAAACUCGGUCAGUUAAUAUCGGAAUCAGAAUCUUUAAUUAGGCUGGAAGAAUCUGAUGAGCUAUGAAGCUCUUUUUUCACACAUGUGCAGUCGGGGCGAGUCAGAAAGUGACAACAACAAACAAUACAAACAGAUAGGAACGCUAAGUCAUGAAAUAAAAAUAUAUAAGAGUUCAAAUUGCAUUAGUGCAUCAAUUCCUGCCACAAUGCACCAAAUGCAAUCUUGGGCAAGGUAGCAUAACAAAAUUAAUCCCAGACCACACUUAAGACAACACACAGUCCCUCCAUACAUUUGCACAUUAAAGUUGAAGUAUUGAUACACGUGAUAAACCUGUCAGCGUUCGAUAAUGCUACUCUGCAUUGUGUUCUCCCUCAGCUCUGUGACUCAAGAAUCAUGUCUUGUGGUGUGAUUUUCACACCAAAAUUAUCUCAUGCUUAUUGAUAUUUAACACCUGAAAUCGCCAAUAAUAUUACAAUCAUAACGUUAGCAAUCAUUGCUUAAAAUUUUAUUACAAUUUAGCUGAUUAACCAGAUUUAAAUUGUAGGAGUCCAAAACAAGUGGAGCCUCCCUCCUCUGAGAUGCCAAUCUGAGCUGGCAGAUCACGUGCUUACUCCCGAGUUUUAGAAUUACCAAUUACUCGUCAAGAUACAUUAAAAAAAUAACAUUACAAGAAUUGUUGCCGAUGAUCCUACAAAGAGUGAACAUCUCAUCAUAGCACUGCAGUCUACAGCGGCAACACCAAAGCCAGAUACAAUGUUCACUCUUGCGGUCUGUUUCACACAGCGCUUUACCUUCGCCGCUACCCACACGUGCAUUAAAUGGGUCAAUUGGAGGCCCCUGUAUCUUUGUUGUGGGUUCCUGUUGCUCAUUCACUGCUGGCCGCCACUGCCCACUUAAAUGUGGGCCCUGUCGCUUUUCUCACCAGACUUCUCCACGGCCAGACGUCGCCCAAUGAUGACUGCGGUUCAGAGGCCUCUGUCCAGAUGAGAGUUGCAGGCAGAGUUUCAGUAUGAAGAGGAAGGCUGGAACCCUGCACAAUUUACCAUCUACAUGGUUCCUCCCGAAUGUUGUACUUGGGUUGUUGCGUUUGGUAAUUAACCACGCUCGUCCUAGUUACAUGAAGGUAGUAGAGGUAUACACAAGAUAAAAAGUACCUUUUAGUACUUAAAGAGCUCGAUUUGCAAAGACCACCGCUACAACUGAACGUUAUGCAGUAAUAUUAAACAGGUUUGAAGCAUAUUCUUGGUUCUUUCGGUAAAGUCACGUAGAAGGGAAACAAUAAAAUAAAAAUAUAAAACAAUAAAAUUCUCACGACGUUUCGACUGCAACACAAGCAAUCAACAUCAGGUGUGAAAAC